This 208-nucleotide microRNA precursor is filed under the name Oryza glumipatula. Its description in RNAcentral is "MIR812 microRNA precursor family". It matches the Rfam family "MIR812 microRNA precursor family". The record is from Rfam by way of RNAcentral. Lineage: Eukaryota; Viridiplantae; Streptophyta; Magnoliopsida; Poales; Poaceae.
AAUAAGUGCAGUCAUGAAAAUCCGUGUCCAACGCUUGACCGUCCGUUUUAUUUGAAAAAUUUAUGAAAAUUUUUUAAAAAAUUAGUCACACAUAAAGUACUAUUCAUGUUUUAUCAUCUAAUAACAAUAAAAGCAGUAAUCAUAAAAAUUCUUCAAAUAAAACGAACGGUCAAACAUUGGAGAUGAAUAGUGCAAAACUGCACUUACU